Molecule: ribosomal RNA, 462 nt
Filed under: uncultured bacterium
Lineage: Bacteria
Description: SSU rRNA
Rfam family: Bacterial small subunit ribosomal RNA
Source: RNAcentral
AGGACUAACGCUGGCGGCGUGCCUAACACAUGCAAGUCGAACGAGGUAGCAAUACCUAGUGGCAGACGGGUGAGUAACACGUAGUCAACCUUCCCGAUAGUGGGGGAUAACUAGCCGAAAGGUUAGCUAAUACCGCAUACGAUCUUCGAGUGGCAUCAUUUGAAGAUGAAAGGAGCAAUCCGCUUUCGGACGGGACUGCGUCCCAUUAGCUAGAUGGUGGGGUAAUGGCCUACCAUGGCAACGAUGGGUAGCUGGUUUGAGAGAGCGACCAGCCACACUGGGACUGAGAACGGCCCAGACUCCUACGGGGGCAGCAGUGAGGAAUUUUCGUCAAUGGGGGCAACCCUGAACGAGCAACGCCGCGUGCAGGAGAGGUUUCGGAUCGUAAACUGCUUUUCGUCGGGGAAGAGAACGGACGGUACCCGAGGAAUCAGCCCCAGCUAACUACGUGCCAGCAGCCGC